Molecule: transfer RNA, 73 nt
Filed under: Patescibacteria group bacterium
Lineage: Bacteria
Description: tRNA-Ala
Rfam family: tRNA
About the family: Transfer RNA (tRNA) molecules are approximately 80 nucleotides in length. Their secondary structure includes four short double-helical elements and three loops (D, anti-codon, and T loops). Further hydrogen bonds mediate the characteristic L-shaped molecular structure. tRNAs have two regions of fundamental functional importance: the anti-codon, which is responsible for specific mRNA codon recognition, and the 3' end, to which the tRNAs corresponding amino acid is attached (by aminoacyl-tRNA synthetases). tRNAs cope with the degeneracy of the genetic code in two manners: having more than one tRNA (with a specific anti-codon) for a particular amino acid; and 'wobble' base-pairing, i.e. permitting non-standard base-pairing at the 3rd anti-codon position.
Source: RNAcentral
GGGCCGAUAGCUCAUCUGGUAGAGCGCAGCAUUCGCAUUGCUGAGGUGGAGAGUUCGAGCCUCUUUCGGUCCA